Unclassified non-coding RNA from Callithrix jacchus (white-tufted-ear marmoset), 300 nucleotides. It matches the Rfam family "Metazoan signal recognition particle RNA". Rfam says of the family: The signal recognition particle (SRP) is a universally conserved ribonucleoprotein. It is involved in the co-translational targeting of proteins to membranes. The eukaryotic SRP consists of a 300-nucleotide 7S RNA and six proteins: SRPs 72, 68, 54, 19, 14, and 9. Lineage: Eukaryota; Metazoa; Chordata; Mammalia; Primates; Cebidae. The record is from Ensembl.
UCCGGGUGCGGUGGCGUGUGCCUGUAGUCCCAGCUACUCUGGAGGCUGAGGCUGGAGGAUCUCUUGAGUCCAGGAGUUCUGGGCUGUAGUGUGCUAUCCCAAUCAGGUGUCCUCACUAAGUUUGGCAUCAAUAUGGUGACCUCCUGGGAGCAGGGAACCGCCAGGUUGCCUGAGGAAAGGUGAACCGGCCCAGGUCGGAUACAGAGCAGGUCAAAACUCUGGUGCUGAUCAGUAGUGGGAUCGUGCCUAUUAAUAGUCACUGCACUCCAGCCUGGGCAACAUAGCGAUACCCCAUCUCUA